This 530-nucleotide unclassified non-coding RNA is filed under the name Microascus sp. IHEM 28188. RNAcentral's name for it is "sequence contains 18S rRNA gene, ITS1, 5.8S rRNA gene, ITS2, 28S rRNA gene". The stretch from base 193 to 346 matches the Rfam family "5.8S ribosomal RNA". Lineage: Eukaryota; Fungi; Ascomycota; Sordariomycetes; Microascales; Microascaceae. The record is from RNAcentral.
GAUCAUUACCGAAGUUACUCUUCAUAACCCUUAUGUGAACCCUACCCCUCGCCGCGCGGUUGCCUCGGCGCUGGAGGUCGGGAGUGGGGCCGCCCCGCGCGGCCCCGCCCCCGGCCCCCGCCGGCCGCGCCAAACUCUCUAUUUCUGCAUAGCGGACUGCAUGUUCUGAUUUAUAAAAAAAAAACAAGUCAAAACUUUCAACAACGGAUCUCUUGGUUCUGGCAUCGAUGAAGAACGCAGCGAAAUGCGAUAAGUAAUGUGAAUUGCAGAAUUCAGUGAAUCAUCGAAUCUUUGAACGCACAUUGCGCCCGGCAGCAAUCUGCCGGGCAUGCCUGUCCGAGCGUCAUUUCUGCCCUCGAGCUCGGUUCUCUCGAACCGACGCCCGGUGUUGGGGCGCUGCGGGGGCUCUAAGCCCCCCGCAGGCCCCGAAAUGAAGUGGCGGUCCCGCCGCGGCACCCCCUGCGUAGUAAGUCUUAUGCACCUCGCAUCGGGUCCCGGCGAAGGCCAGCCGUCGAACCUAUCUCUUGAUG